Long non-coding RNA from Trichomycterus rosablanca, 369 nucleotides. RefSeq lists it as uncharacterized. The transcript has 2 exons. NCBI's taxonomy places the organism in Eukaryota, Metazoa, Chordata, Actinopteri, Siluriformes, Trichomycteridae. The record is from RefSeq and is a predicted model, not a curated record.
UAUCAUCUGUGUGAAAGGCGGGCACGCUGUAUCGGAGCCAGGUGGCACACAGAGAUUAGAGUGGAGAACGCACCCCACCCGACCCCACCCGAGCGCCAGUGGUGUCAGACUGACACGGUGGAGAGGAGGAAGGUCGCCGUGAUCCAGGCGGCGGAGUAACGAUGAGAGCUGGAGGGGUACUUGGUGCCGUUGAUCGUGUGCUCGGACCCCUUGUCGUCGCUGGAGCCCCAGUGAAAGUGAAACUGCUUCAGUCUGUAUACACCAGUGAUGGGUCCACCCGUCAGGACUGCACACACACACACACACACAGUUUAUACACUGUUUUGUACGCUGUACAUAAACAUUUCAAUAAAGUUUCUCUCCUAACAA